This 924-nucleotide long non-coding RNA is filed under the name Eucalyptus grandis. Its description in RNAcentral is "long non-coding RNA (EGRA_LNC004393)". The record is from RNAcentral. Lineage: Eukaryota; Viridiplantae; Streptophyta; Magnoliopsida; Myrtales; Myrtaceae.
AUUAGUCCUCCUUUGGGAGGCGCCCCUUGUACAGUUUUUAGCUCAGGUACCUCUCUCUCUCUCUCUCUCUCUCUCUCUCUCGUGGGUUUGUGUUGGAAAGGAAGGAGCUUUGGCCUCUCUGGUGUUUGGGGCCUUGAUGGGGUCGUCCCGUGUGUUUCUUCGUGGUAAUUAGUGCGUUUUUCAUUCUUCGGUUUGCAGAUCUUGAUGACAUGUGGGUUUCCGUUUAAAUCGGAGCUGAGAUUUGGGGGAUCUGCGAAGCUUCCUUAAUUUCUUGGCCUGCCUGAAAUUCAUCUUUUCAAAGCAAGCAAGUUUUUUCUUUUUUCCUUUUAUAAAAAUUUGUUUUAGGUCCGUUUCCGGACCCUAUGUUGCCAGAUCCAUGUUGGCAGAGCACAAAUCCUGCAGAUUCGCUAUCGCCCCAUUUUGGUCGUGACCUUCCCUCCAUGGAAUCGGGCUAAUUUCGCCAGUUCCGUCGGUUUCUUGGAGAACUUCUUGGGGAAAAAUUCGAGCCUGCCGAUUAAUCCGACGUUCGUGGUUGUUAUUUUUUUCGUUUGUCUUUUCUGGGUCCGAGUCAAGAUGCUAUCUUGAGUUCUCUGUUGCGAAAUCGAGUAAUUAACAGGACAUAAUUCACUGGCCAGAUCUUCAUCGUGAAACUGCUCGGCAUCUAUAGCACGCCGUCCAAAUUAACUGAUGUAAUUUACAGAGGUCCUGUUUUGUAUUGCCCCUUCCCCAUCAAAGGUUCUUGCCUUAACUCCGAUCUAUUUCUGUGGACAGGAACUUGUAUACACAAAUAUCAACUCGGAGAGAGCGUAAAUUUAUCUUUCAAGAACAGCGAAAAAUGAAUCCCUGUUCGAUCCAGCAAAGUGCGUUCGUGUCCCGCGAAGAAAUGAGGAGAGAGGCGGUGGUUUGUCCGAAGCCUCGCCGUCU